This 253-nucleotide ribosomal RNA is filed under the name uncultured bacterium. RNAcentral's name for it is "partial 16S ribosomal RNA". It matches the Rfam family "Bacterial small subunit ribosomal RNA", at positions 524 to 776 of the family's 1533-position model. The record is from RNAcentral.
GACGAAGGGGGCAAGCGUUGUCCGGAAUUACUGGGCGUAAAGGGCGCGUAGGCGGUCUUGUUAGUCAGGCGUGAAAGCCCUGGGCUUAACCUGGGAUGUGCGCUUGAUACUGCGAGGCUUGAGUGUGGGAGAGGUUGGUGGAAUUCCCAGUGUAGAGGUGAAAUUCGUAGAUAUUGGGAAGAACACCGGUGGCGAAGGCGGCCAACUGGACCACAACUGACGCUGAGGCGCGAAAGCGUGGGGAGCAAACAGG